GAUGAACGCUGGCGGCGUGCCUAAUACAUGCAAGUCGAGCGAACAGAUGAGGAGCUUGCUCCUCUGACGUUAGCGGCGGACGGGUGAGUAGCACGUGGAUAACCUACCUAUAAGACUGGGAUAACUUCGGGAAACCGGAGCUAAUACCGGAUAAUAUAUUGAACCGCAUGGUUCAAUAGUGAAAGACGGUUUUGCUGUCACUUAUAGAUGGAUCCGCGCCGCAUUAGCUAGUUGGUAAGGUAACGGCUUACCAAGGCAACGAUGCGUAGCCGACCUGAGAGGUUGAUCGGCCACACUGGACCUGAGACACGGUCCAGACUCCUACGGGAGGCAGCAGUAGGGAUUCUUCCGCAAUGGGCGAAAGCCUGACGGAGCAACGCCGCGUGAGUGAUGAAGGUCUUCGGAUCUUAAAACUCUGUUAUUAGGGAAGAACAAAUGUGUAAGUAACUAUGCACGUCUUGACGGUACCUAAUCAGAAAGCCACGGCUAACUACGUG
RNAcentral lists this ribosomal RNA (497 nucleotides) under uncultured bacterium. RNAcentral's name for it is "partial 16S ribosomal RNA". It matches the Rfam family "Bacterial small subunit ribosomal RNA", at positions 28 to 507 of the family's 1533-position model. The record is from RNAcentral.